UAGAAAAAGAAUCUUUUUCUAAUCUGAAAGCACUAAAAGUCUUAUGGCUUUCUACAAACCGCUUAACUUCGCUUGACACUAACUUGUUUAUGGGGCUUACCGAGUUGAAAGAAUUGUGGUUGCAAAAUAAUCUUUUAACUACUAUUGAAAAUCUUUUUAAAAAUCUCCAAAAACUUCAUCACUUGU
Molecule: long non-coding RNA, 186 nt
Organism: Zophobas morio
Lineage: Eukaryota; Metazoa; Arthropoda; Insecta; Coleoptera; Tenebrionidae
Exons: 3
Source: RefSeq, a predicted model, not a curated record